Molecule: transfer RNA, 89 nt
Filed under: Paludibacterium paludis
Lineage: Bacteria; Pseudomonadati; Pseudomonadota; Betaproteobacteria; Neisseriales; Chromobacteriaceae
Description: tRNA-Ala
Source: RNAcentral
GCUUGGUUAUGACGGCAAGGGUCAGGUGCGGGUCGCGACCGCGCAGGAGGCGCGGGCUGCCUGGGCCGAUCUGGGCGGCCAGCCGUGCG